AUUGAACGCUGGCGGCAUGCCUUACACAUGCAAGUCGAACGGCAGCGGACCUUCGGGUGCCGGCGAGUGGCGAACGGGUGAGUAAUAUAUCGGAACGUACCUUUCAGUGGGGGAUAACGUAGCGAAAGUUACGCUAAUACCGCAUAUUCUGUGAGCAGGAAAGCAGGGGAUCGCAAGACCUUGCGCUGAUUGAGCGGCCGAUAUCAGAUUAGCUAGUUGGUGAGGUAAAGGCUCACCAAGGCGACGAUCUGUAGCGGGUCUGAGAGGAUGAUCCGCCACACUGGAACUGAGACACGGUCCAGACUCCUACGGGAGGCAGCAGUGGGGAAUUUUGGACAAUGGGCGCAAACCUGAUCCAGCCAUGCCGCGUGAGUGAAGAAGGCCUCGGUUG
RNAcentral lists this ribosomal RNA (391 nucleotides) under uncultured bacterium. Its description in RNAcentral is "bacterial SSU rRNA". It matches the Rfam family "Bacterial small subunit ribosomal RNA", at positions 30 to 425 of the family's 1533-position model. The record is from RNAcentral.